RNAcentral lists this ribosomal RNA (406 nucleotides) under uncultured bacterium. RNAcentral describes it as "partial 16S ribosomal RNA". It matches the Rfam family "Bacterial small subunit ribosomal RNA", at positions 30 to 526 of the family's 1533-position model. The record is from RNAcentral.
AUUGAACGCUGUCGGCCGGCUUAACACAUGCAAGUCGCGCGAGCGGCGGACGGGUGAGUCAUGUCUGGGAAACUGCCUGAUGGAGGGGGAUAACUACUGGAAACGGUAGCUAAUACCGCAUACCAUAAGCGGUGCCCAGAUGGGAUUAGCUCGUAUGUGGGGUAAUGGCUCACCGAGGCGACGAUCCCUAGCUGGUCUGAGAGGAUGACCAGCCACACUGGAACUGAGACACGGUCCAGACUCCUACGGUAGGCAGCAGUGGGGAAUAUUGCACAAUGGGCGCAAGCCUGAUGCAGCCAUGCCGCGUGUGUGAAGAAGGCCUUCGGGUUGUAAAGCACUUGCAGCGAGGAGGCGUUACUCGCAGAAGAAGCACCGGCUAACUCCGUGCCAGCAGCCGCGGUAAUAC